CCCCUAUUCUCAGUUGCCAGCACAUAAUGGUGGGCGACUCUGUGGAGGACUGCCCGGGUUAACCGGGAGGAAGGUGGGGAUGACGUCAAGUCAUCAUGGCCCUUACGCCUAGGGCUACACACGUACUACAAUGGUGGUUACAAAGGGCAGCGAAACCGCGAGGUCGAGCGAAUCUCAAAAAACCCAUCAUAGUCCGGAUUGCAGUCUGCAACUCGACUGCAUGAAGUUGGAAUCGCUAGUAAUCCCGGAUCAGCAUGCCGGGGUGAAUACGUUCCCGGGCCUU
This 283-nucleotide ribosomal RNA is filed under the name uncultured Desulfomicrobium sp. RNAcentral's name for it is "partial 16S ribosomal RNA". It matches the Rfam family "Bacterial small subunit ribosomal RNA", at positions 1102 to 1382 of the family's 1533-position model. The record is from RNAcentral. Lineage: Bacteria; Pseudomonadati; Thermodesulfobacteriota; Desulfovibrionia; Desulfovibrionales; Desulfomicrobiaceae.